UACAGAGGUGGCAAGCGUUGUUCGGAAUUACUGGGCGUAAAGGGCGCGUAGGCGGCCUUGUAAGUCCUGUGUGAAAUCCCCCGGCUCAACUGGGGAACUGCACAGGAGACUGCUUGGCUUGAGUUCGGGAGAGGGAAGCGGAAUUCCGGGUGUAGCGGUGAAAUGCGUAGAUAUCCGGAGGAACACCGGUGGCGAAGGCGGCUUCCUGGACCGACACUGACGCUGAGGAGCGAAAGCGUGGGGAGCAAACAGG
This 253-nucleotide ribosomal RNA is filed under the name uncultured bacterium. RNAcentral's name for it is "partial 16S ribosomal RNA". It matches the Rfam family "Bacterial small subunit ribosomal RNA", at positions 524 to 776 of the family's 1533-position model. The record is from RNAcentral.